GAUGAAGAACGCAGUGAAAUGCGAUACGUAAUGUGAAUUGCAGAAUUCAGUGAAUCAUCGAGUCUUUGAACGCACAUUGCGCCCUCUGGUAUUCCGGAGGGCAUGCCUGUCCGAGCGUCAUUGCUGCCCUCAAGCACGGCUUGUGUGUUGGGCCCCGCCCCCCGAUCCCGGGGGGCGGGCCCGAAAGGCAGCGGCGGCACCGCGUCCGGUCCUCGAGCGUAUGGGGCUUUGUCACCCGCUCUGUAGGCCCGGCCGGCGCUUGCCGAUCAACCAAACUUUUUUCCAGGUUGACCUCGGAUCAGGUAGGGAUACCCGCUGAACUUAAGCAUAUCAAUAAGCGGAGGA
This 345-nucleotide unclassified non-coding RNA is filed under the name soil metagenome. RNAcentral's name for it is "partial contains 5.8S ribosomal RNA, internal transcribed spacer 2, and large subunit ribosomal RNA". The stretch from base 1 to 120 matches the Rfam family "5.8S ribosomal RNA", at positions 35 to 154 of the family's 154-position model. The record is from RNAcentral.